Molecule: long non-coding RNA, 473 nt
Filed under: Pan troglodytes (chimpanzee)
Lineage: Eukaryota; Metazoa; Chordata; Mammalia; Primates; Hominidae
Description: long non-coding RNA NONPTRT007695
Source: RNAcentral
GUGGACUGCUUUGGCUGUCACCAAGAAUAUGAUGGAAAUGAUGCUCAAAUAUUUGAAGCAGUUGAUAAAGACUCCCUUCUCACCAUAGCUUUUAAUAACCAUGUCAAUAUUCUUUUCUUUGCACCUUGUGAAAAUCUGGGUUCUCAGCCAUUGUAACUGGGAAAGACAGUGUGACUUAAUAUGAGGCCACUGGUCCUACUUUGCUAUUGUCUGUGAAGGCAGCUAAGCACAACUGAAGUUGCUGGAGUUCCUUUUUGUAACUGCUGGGGAAGAGGAAGCACAAGAGAGCCUCUGGGUGUGUGGGCGCAGGAAUGCAUAGAGAAAAAAGUAAUUAGUGCCUGUUCACAUUUAUGUCUUUAGUUGGAAAUUAGGGAGCUCUCCUAAAAGUCUAAAGAAAAUCGUGGAUGCUCAAACUGUUUAAAAUGUUUCUAAAUUUAAGUUCAGAAACAAUUUGUUACUAGAUCAGGAGCUCU